Non-coding RNA from Micrococcus sp. HMSC067E09, 59 nucleotides. NCBI's taxonomy places the organism in Bacteria, Bacillati, Actinomycetota, Actinomycetes, Micrococcales, Micrococcaceae. The record is from Rfam.
CACCCCCCUCUUUCACUACGGAUCGUCGGGCACGUGCCUGCCCGUGAAAGGACCCCCAU